GAUGGACCCGCGUUGGAUUAGCUAGUUGGUGAGGUAACGGCCCACCAAGGCGACGAUCCAUAGCCGGCCUGAGAGGGUGAACGGCCACAUUGGGACUGAGACACGGCCCAGACUCCUACGGGAGGCAGCAGUGGGGAAUAUUGCACAAUGGGGGAAACCCUGAUGCAGCGACGCCGCGUAAAGGAAGAAGUAUCUCGGUAUGUAAACUUCUAUCAGCAGGGAAGAAAAUGACGGUACCUGACUAAGAAGCCCCGGCUAACUACGUGCCAGCAGCCGCGGUAAUACGUAGGGGGCAAGCGUUAUCCGGAUUUACUGGGUGUAAAGGGAGCGUAGACGGAUGGACAAGUCUGAUGUGAAAGGCUGGGGCUCAACCCCGGGACUGCAUUGGAAACUGCCCGUCUUGAGUGCCGGAGAGGUAAGCGGAAUUCCUAGUGUAGCGGUGAAAUGCGUAGAUAUUAGGAGGAACACCAGUGGCGAAGGCGGCUUACUGGACGGUAACUGACGCUGAGGCACGAAGGCCAGGGGAGCGAAAGGGAUUAGAUACCCCUGUAGUCCUGGCAGUAAACGGUGCACGCUUGGUGUGCGGGGAAUCGACCCCCUGCGUGCCGGAGCUAACGCGUUAAGCGUGCCGCCUGGGGAGUACGGUCGCAAGAUUAAAACUCAAAGAAAUUGACGGGGACCCGCACAAGCGGUGGAGUAUGUGGCUUAAUUCGAUGCAACGCGAAGAACCUUACCUGGGCUUGACAUGUAAUGAACAACAUGUGAAAGCAUGCGACUCUUCGGAGGCGUUACACAGGUGCUGCAUGGCCGUCGUCAGCUCGUGUCGUGAGAUGUUUGGUUAAGUCCAGCAACGAGCGCAACCCCUGUUGCCAGUUACCAGCACGUGAAGGUGGGGACUCUGGCGAGACUGCCCAGAUCAACUGGGAGGAAGGUGGGGACGACGUCAGGUCAGUAUGGCCCUUAUGCCCAGGGCUGCACACGUACUACAAUGCCCAGUACAGAGGGGGCCGAAGCCGCGAGGCGGAGGAAAUCCUGAAAACUGGGCCCAGUUCGGACUGUAGGCUGCAACCCGCCUACACGAAGCCGGAAUCGCUAGUAAUGGCGCAUCAGCUACGGCGCCGUGAAUACGUUCCCGGGUCUUGCACUCACCGCCCGUCA
Molecule: ribosomal RNA, 1158 nt
Filed under: uncultured bacterium
Lineage: Bacteria
Description: bacterial SSU rRNA
Rfam family: Bacterial small subunit ribosomal RNA
Source: RNAcentral